Molecule: ribosomal RNA, 1473 nt
Filed under: Lacticaseibacillus casei
Lineage: Bacteria; Bacillati; Bacillota; Bacilli; Lactobacillales; Lactobacillaceae
Description: bacterial SSU rRNA
Rfam family: Bacterial small subunit ribosomal RNA
Source: RNAcentral
ACUUAAAACGAGUGGCGGACGGGUGAGUAACACGUGGGUAACCUGCCCUUAAGUGGGGGAUAACAUUUGGAAACAGAUGCUAAUACCGCAUAAAUCCAAGAACCGCAUGGUUCUUGGCUGAAAGAUGGCGCAAGCUAUCGCUUUUGGAUGGACCCGCGGCGUAUUAGCUAGUUGGUGAGGUAACGGCUCACCAAGGCGAUGAUACGUAGCCGAACUGAGAGGUUGAUCGGCCACAUUGGGACUGAGACACGGCCCAAACUCCUACGGGAGGCAGCAGUAGGGAAUCUUCCACAAUGGACGCAAGUCUGAUGGAGCAACGCCGCGUGAGUGAAGAAGGCUUUCGGGUCGUAAAACUCUGUUGUUGGAGAAGAAUGGUCGGCAGAGUAACUGUUGUCGGCGUGACGGUAUCCAACCAGAAAGCCACGGCUAACUACGUGCCAGCAGCCGCGGUAAUACGUAGGUGGCAAGCGUUAUCCGGAUUUAUUGGGCGUAAAGCGAGCGCAGGCGGUUUUUUAAGUCUGAUGUGAAAGCCCUCGGCUUAACCGAGGAAGCGCAUCGGAAACUGGGAAACUUGAGUGCAGAAGAGGACAGUGGAACUCCAUGUGUAGCGGUGAAAUGCGUAGAUAUAUGGAAGAACACCAGUGGCGAAGGCGGCUGUCUGGUCUGUAACUGACGCUGAGGCUCGAAAGCAUGGGUAGCGAACAGGAUUAGAUACCCUGGUAGUCCAUGCCGUAAACGAUGAAUGCUAGGUGUUGGAGGGUUUCCGCCCUUCAGUGCCGCAGCUAACGCAUUAAGCAUUCCGCCUGGGGAGUACGACCGCAAGGUUGAAACUCAAAGGAAUUGACGGGGGCCCGCACAAGCGGUGGAGCAUGUGGUUUAAUUCGAAGCAACGCGAAGAACCUUACCAGGUCUUGACAUCUUUUGAUCACCUGAGAGAUCAGGUUUCCCCUUCGGGGGCAAAAUGACAGGUGGUGCAUGGUUGUCGUCAGCUCGUGUCGUGAGAUGUUGGGUUAAGUCCCGCAACGAGCGCAACCCUUAUGACUAGUUGCCAGCAUUGAGUUGGGCACUCUAGUAAGACUGCCGGUGACAAACCGGAGGAAGGUGGGGAUGACGUCAAAUCAUCAUGCCCCUUAUGACCUGGGCUACACACGUGCUACAAUGGAUGGUACAACGAGUUGCGAGACCGCGAGGUCAAGCUAAUCUCUUAAAGCCAUUCUCAGUUCGGACUGUAGGCUGCAACUCGCCUACACGAAGUCGGAAUCGCUAGUAAUCGCGGAUCAGCACGCCGCGGUGAAUACGUUCCCGGGCCUUGUACACACCGCCCGUCACACCAUGAGAGUUUGUAACACCCGAAGCCGGUGGCGUAACCCUUUUAGGGAGCGAGCCGUCUAAGGUGGGACAAAUGAUUAGGGUGAAGUCGUAACAAGGUAGCCGUAGGAGAACCUGCGGCUGGAUCACCUCCUUUCUAAGGAA